ACUAUUACUGUAACGGUCACGUUACUAACUUAACUCUUUAAUUAUUUUUAUAAUUAUUUUCCUUCGCUCUCCCAUUUAAAUUCUCUAAUUCCUCGUAUAGGACCACUGACGUGACGUCAUACCUCGGUGAUGGAACAUACUCCACCUAUCGAGAAUUAUUUCGCGUUCGGUGAGUUUGACGUCGUACUCUUGGAAGGAGAGACGAAUGUUCAUCACUUGACCUGUGGCUGUAGGUGAAGUUGGUUGCUACCAUAGAAUAUUAGAAUGGCGGUUGGUUUUUUUUUAUUUUAUAACAUCAGUGAAAAGAAAAAAAAUUACCACAAAUGGUUUUCUACAGUAGGGUGGCAUGUGGGUAGAACAACCCCUCUUGGAAUCGGAAUAGAAAUCACCGCCAUUUUGGAGUAACCACAUGGUGAACUCAUAGCCCUUUGACACCUAGGGAAACCACUACAGCCACAGUCAAGUCACCUUGGGAAUAUGUCUAAUUGGGAGCAAGCUAUGGGAGCGUUCCAGCUCAAUUUUCGUCUUGGCACCUGGGCCUACAGGAGUCAUGGGGUCGCACCAUCCUGGUGCAUCAUUUUCUAGGAUGCAACCGCAACCUCGUUUGGGAACAUUUAGUGAGGUGUUUUAGUAACUAUUGGUUUUUUUUAUAUUUCAGACUAUCUGUUAAAUACACUAUGUUUUUUUCCAGAUUUAGGUUACCUCUGGUUUUUUUGACAUAUUUGUAUAUUAGAUUAUUUGGUUCCCAAACUUUGUAUCUACGGUAACUUCUUGUGCACAGGAAUAAGCCUAGAGAAAAUUAGGUUUUUAAUACUUUAUUAUUGCUUUGAUAUUGGUUUAUGUAAUUCGGGUAAAUUUAUUUUUUAAUAUUACUAGCUUGUUUCCCAAAUAUUUUACUGUUAUUCGCUUUAUUCCAUUUGUUCGGUUAAUUUAGGUCAUCGUCGGUAUUUAUCUCAACUUCAUUUCUACUUUAGUCAAUUGUAUAUUUAACUUUAUUUAUUCAUUACUGUAUUUUCCCUUAGUGAGGCUUGGGCCUAUUUAUUUGUAGUAUUUUCAUCUUUGUCAGUUUCCUUUAGUUGUACGUAGCAGGCGUACUAUAACCAUUUGGUAGAAGACUUAUGUAAUUUUGUACCCUAUAUGUUAGUGAAAGGUACUUAUACCUGUAAUUUUGUAACAGGUAACAUUGUUGUUAUCUUAGAGAUGACUUUUUGUAUAACUUAUGUCAUUUUAGAGUAACAUGAUAUACACUUUGUGUAACUCAGAGAUUGUCAAAAAUCUAGUAGUUAUUUUUAAUAAAUAUGUAUUUAUUUUGUA
This 1314-nucleotide long non-coding RNA is filed under the name Diabrotica virgifera virgifera (western corn rootworm). RNAcentral describes it as "uncharacterized LOC126878613". Lineage: Eukaryota; Metazoa; Arthropoda; Insecta; Coleoptera; Chrysomelidae. The record is from RNAcentral.